ACAGUGGAAACGAUAUCAUUGGCAAAGGUGACACUAGAGUGAGCUCCAAAAACCAAAUUUUGUUGGGUUUCAAUCACGUCGCAAUUCAUGUUGAAAUUUGACCUGAUUGAAACUCGAAUUCUAGGCAACCUCAGAUGGCAAACUUGCAUUGAGGGAGUUACCUGGUAGUGGGCCAUCGAUUUGUUGUUUCAGCGCAGCUAUCUGGUGACUAAACAAUGAUGGUUCGUGAAGAGUUGCCAUGAGGUGGAAAACUAUGGUGAG
Molecule: unclassified non-coding RNA, 261 nt
Filed under: Hevea brasiliensis (rubber tree)
Lineage: Eukaryota; Viridiplantae; Streptophyta; Magnoliopsida; Malpighiales; Euphorbiaceae
Source: RNAcentral